AAAAGCUCUCUCUCUAGCUCUAGAGAAAAACCACUGACUAGUUUGUUUUGAGGUGUGGCGUGGCGAGGAUAGAAGAGGCAGUUCGUUCUCAACCUUCCGAGACGACAUUUGGCGCCCAACUAAUCGAACCCACGACCCUGAAGCUCGUCGCUCUCCGGCCGGUGUUUUUCGUUUUCCUCUUCGCGUUCUCGCCAUGGCUCCGCUUUGCUGCGUCUGUUCAACCCUUUCCUAGAUCCUCGGAGCUCCUACUCAGUUUCUGUAGCGCCAUCGGUUUUCGGACAGCCGGCCAGUGUGCGUCCUGCUGCCCCAGUCUUCUUCUCGGUCGGUGCGUACUGUCGGUCUCGCCGCUCCUGGAAGCGUCGCUGGGUCCGUCGGCAUAACCUGUUUUCUCAUGCAUUUGUACUUUUGUUUUGUCAUGACUGGUGGAUGGGUGGCGCACUAGGUUGGUUCUGUUCUAAGAAUAAAAGAUCCAAAGGGACAAACACAGGUCGAACAGCUCGCCAGCCGGGGUCCUCUGCAAAAAUCUGUUGCUUGCAGGUUCCGUUGAUGGUGCACAGUUUUGUGGGGCUCCCGACUGGUGUUAACCCUCCUGGCCUACUCGUCAUGCGUUCAACAGUUGUGGCCCACCUCUUUUGUGUUUUAUUGUCGCCUGUUUAUGUUGCUUCAUAUUUCAUUUCCCCUGUCUUUCUGUCUUCUUCUCCGGUCUGUCUCCUUCCGUUUUUUAUACACUUCACUUUUGCUUCCAUCCACAGGAGUGGAUGUCUUUUUUUGGUAGGGGAUAGUGUUGUACCUGCGCCUGCACGUGUUAUCUCUUCGUCGUAGCUGCUGCUGUAUUUGUGUCUCUGUGUGUACAUGUGGUUGCACGUGUUGUCUCUUCGUCGUAGCUGCUGCUGUAUUUGUGUCUCUGUGCUGCUGACCCGUACAUGCUGCUGCGCUGCUUUGUUGCUGACCCGUACAUGCUGCUGCGCUGCUUUGUUGUUGACACGUGCACCUUUUUGUGCUGAGUACACCACCUUUUGUGCUGACGAGGGCACCAAUUUCUGAUAUCAUGUUUUCC
Molecule: long non-coding RNA, 1057 nt
Organism: Sycon ciliatum
Lineage: Eukaryota; Metazoa; Porifera; Calcarea; Leucosolenida; Sycettidae
Exons: 2
Source: RefSeq, a predicted model, not a curated record